UGAGCAAUGAGGAUAAAAAUUUGUCCCUGAUAAAUCUUGAUGACCUUAUACGCUAUUCUGAGCCACUG
Solea solea (common sole) is the source of this 68-nucleotide small nucleolar RNA. RefSeq annotates it as small nucleolar RNA U54. The transcript has a single exon. The record is from RefSeq and is a predicted model, not a curated record. Lineage: Eukaryota; Metazoa; Chordata; Actinopteri; Pleuronectiformes; Soleidae.